GUGCUUCAAGGAUGAACGAAGUCUCCCACAUUGGUGUCCAUCUUUUUCACUGUCAGCUUUGUCUUUCAUGUCUUGCUGAUCACUGUUGGAUGGAAGAUCU
Non-coding RNA from Cucumis melo (muskmelon), 100 nucleotides. Lineage: Eukaryota; Viridiplantae; Streptophyta; Magnoliopsida; Cucurbitales; Cucurbitaceae. The record is from Rfam.